GAAAUAAUAAUAGGUAAAGCUUCUAACUUCAACCUUAAGCACAAAAGUGUUUUUAUUUCU
RNAcentral lists this transfer RNA (60 nucleotides) under Mantura chrysanthemi. Its description in RNAcentral is "tRNA-Ser". The record is from RNAcentral. Lineage: Eukaryota; Metazoa; Arthropoda; Insecta; Coleoptera; Chrysomelidae.